Molecule: ribosomal RNA, 253 nt
Filed under: uncultured bacterium
Lineage: Bacteria
Description: partial 16S ribosomal RNA
Rfam family: Bacterial small subunit ribosomal RNA
Source: RNAcentral
UACAGAGGUCCCGAGCGUUGUUCGGAUUUAUUGGGCGUAAAGGGUGCGUAGGCGGCGGAGUAAGUUGGGUGUGAAAUCCCGGGGCUUAACCUCGGAAUUGCAUUCAAUACUGCUUCGCUCGAGUACUGGAGAGGAGGCUGGAAUUUACGGUGUAGCAGUGAAAUGCGUAGAUAUCGUAAGGAAGGCCGGUGGCGAAAGCGAGCCUCUGGACAGUUACUGACGCUGAGGAGCGAAAGCGUGGGGAGCAAACAGG